This 464-nucleotide ribosomal RNA is filed under the name uncultured bacterium. Its description in RNAcentral is "partial 16S ribosomal RNA". It matches the Rfam family "Bacterial small subunit ribosomal RNA", at positions 338 to 795 of the family's 1533-position model. The record is from RNAcentral.
CCUACGGGUGGCAGCAGUAGGGAAUUUUCGUCAAUGGGCGCAAGCCUGAACGAGCAAUGCCGCGUGAACGAGGAAGGUCUUCGGAUCGGAAAGUUCUGUUGAAGGGGGAGAAGGGCGGGGAGAGGAAAUGCUUUCUGAUUGAUAUUGGCCUUAGAGGAAGUCCCGACUAACUGCGUGCCAGCAGCCGCGGUAAUACGUAGGUGGCGAGCGUUAUCCGGAAUGGUUGGGCGUAAAGGGUGCGUAGGCGGCCUGCUAAGUCAGGAGUGAAAGGUACCGGCUCAACCGGUACAGGCCCUGGAAACUGGCGGGCUAGAGAGCGGGAGAGGGCGGUGGAACUCGAGGUGUAGCGGUAAAAUGCGUAGAUAUAUGGAAGAACACCAGUGGCGAAGGCGGCCGCCUGGCCUGUUACUGACGCUGAGGCACGAAAGCGCGGGGAGCAAAUAGGAUUAGAUACCCUGGUAGUC